Molecule: ribosomal RNA, 406 nt
Filed under: uncultured bacterium
Lineage: Bacteria
Description: partial 16S ribosomal RNA
Rfam family: Bacterial small subunit ribosomal RNA
Source: RNAcentral
AUUGAACGCUGGCGGCAGGCCUAACACAUGCAAGUCGAACGAGUGGCGGACGGGUGAGUAAUGACUGGGCAACUGCCUGAUGGAGGGGGAUAACUACUGGACACGGUAGCUAAUACCGCCUUCCUUCGGCUGUGCCGAGUUGGGUUUAGCUAGUAGGUGGGGUAAAGGCUCACCUAGGCGACGAUCCGUAGCUGGUCUGAGAGGAUGACCAGCCACACUGGAACUGAGACACGGUCCAGACUCCUACGGGAGGCAGCAGUGGGGAAUAUUGCACAAUGGGCGAAAGCCUGAUGCAGCCAUGCCGCGUGUAUGAAGAAGGCCUUCGGGUUGUAAAGUACUUUCAGCGGGGAGGCGUUACCCGCAGAAGAAGCACCGGCUAACUCCGUGCCAGCAGCCGCGGUAAUAC